RNAcentral lists this ribosomal RNA (484 nucleotides) under uncultured bacterium. RNAcentral's name for it is "partial 16S ribosomal RNA". It matches the Rfam family "Bacterial small subunit ribosomal RNA", at positions 30 to 507 of the family's 1533-position model. The record is from RNAcentral.
AUUGAACGCUGGCGGCAGGCCUAACACAUGCAAGUCGAGCGGAUGAAGGGAGCUUGCUCCUGGAUUCAGCGGCGGACGGGUGAGUAAUGCCUAGGAAUCUGCCUGGUAGUGGGGGAUAACGUCCGGAAACGGGCGCUAAUACCGCAUACGUCCUGAGGUAGAAAGUGGGGGAUCUUCGGACCUCACGCUAUCAGAUGAGCCUAGGUCGGAUUAGCUAGUUGGUGGGGUAAAGGCCUACCAAGGCGACGAUCCGUAACUGGUCUGAGAGGAUGAUCAGUCACACUGGAACCGAGACACGGUCCAGACUCCUACGGGAGGCAGCAGUGGGGAAUAUUGGACAAUGGGCGAAAGCCUGAUCCAGCCAUGCCGCGUGUGUGAAGAAGGUCUUCGGAUUGUAAAGCACUUUAAGUUGGGAGGAAGGGCAGUAAGUUAAUACCUUGCUGUUUUGACGUUACCAACAGAAUAAGCACCGGCUAACUUCGUG